GCUAAGACUGGAUAGGAAAAGUAAGGGCAUCUUUACUUUUUUAAAAGACCUUCUUUGAAGGUAUGCUUAAGGAGGGGCUUGCGACACAUUAGUUAGUUGGCAGGGUAAAGGCCUACCAAGACUAUGAUGUGUAGCUGGACUGAGAGGUUGAACAGCCACAUUGGGACUGAGACACGGCCCAAACUCCUACGGGAGGCAGCAGUAGGGAAUUUUCGGCAAUGGAGGAAACUCUGACCGAGCAACGCCGCGUGAACGAUGAAGUACCUCGGUAUGUAAAGUUCUUUUAUUAAGGAAGAAAAAAGAGUGGAAAAACUCCCUUGACGGUACUUAAUGAAUAAGCCCCGGCUAAUUAUGUGCCAGCAGCCGCGGUAAUACAUAAGGGGCGAGCGUUAUCCGGAAUUAUUGGGCGUAAAGGGUGCGUAGGCGGUUUAAUAAGUCUAUAGUUUAAUUUCAGCGCUUAACGCUGUUGUGCUAUAGAAACUGUUUUACUAGAGUGAGUUAGAGGCAAGCGGAAUUCCAUGUGUAGCGGUAAAAUGCGUAAAUAUAUGGAGGAACACCAGAGGCGUAGGCGGCUUGCUGGGACUUUACUGACGCUGAGGCACGAAAGCGUGGGGAGCAAACAGGAUUAGAUACCCUGGUAGUCCACGCCGUAAACGAUGAGUACUAAGUGUCGGGUAAAACCGGUACUGAAGUUAACACAUUAAGUACUCCGCCUGAGUAGUACGUACGCAAGUAUGAAACUUAAAGGAAUUGACGGGACUCCGCACAAGCGGUGGAUCAUGUUGUUUAAUUCGAAGAUACACGAAAAACCUUACCAGGUCUUGACAUUUUCUUGCGAAGUUAUAGAAAUAUAAUGGAGGUUAUCAGGAAAACAGGUGGUGCAUGGUUGUCGUCAGCUCGUGUCGUGAGAUGUUAGGUUAAGUCCUAAAACGAGCGCAACCCUUGUCGUUAAUUGCCAGCAUGUAAUGAUGGGGACUUUAACGAGACUGCCAAUGAAAAAUUGGAGGAAGGUGGGGAUUACGUCAAAUCAUCAUGCCCCUUAUGAUCUGGGCUACAAACGUGAUACAAUGGUUGAUACAAAGAGUAGCUGAAACGCGAGUUCUUAGCCAAUCUCACAAAAUCAAUCUCAGUUCGGAUUGAAGUCUGCAACUCGACUUCAUGAAGUUGGAAUCGCUAGUAAUCGCGAAUCAGCAUGUCGCGGUGAAUACGUUCUCGGGGUUUGUACA
RNAcentral lists this ribosomal RNA (1226 nucleotides) under 'Amplicephalus curtulus' X-disease phytoplasma. RNAcentral describes it as "bacterial SSU rRNA". It matches the Rfam family "Bacterial small subunit ribosomal RNA", at positions 162 to 1387 of the family's 1533-position model. The record is from RNAcentral. Lineage: Bacteria; Bacillati; Mycoplasmatota; Mollicutes; Acholeplasmatales; Acholeplasmataceae.